RNAcentral lists this ribosomal RNA (142 nucleotides) under uncultured eukaryote. RNAcentral's name for it is "partial 18S ribosomal RNA". It matches the Rfam family "Eukaryotic small subunit ribosomal RNA", at positions 1299 to 1458 of the family's 1831-position model. The record is from RNAcentral.
UGGUGGAGUGAUUUGUCUGGUUUAUUCCGUUAACGAACGAGACCCUUGCCUGUUAAAUAGUGGUCUUUGUGGUGAUUCACAGUGGACCACUUCUUAGAGGGACCUGCGGCUGUAUAGCUGAAGGAAGAGAGGGGCAAUAACA